Molecule: ribosomal RNA, 305 nt
Filed under: uncultured bacterium
Lineage: Bacteria
Description: partial 16S ribosomal RNA
Rfam family: Bacterial small subunit ribosomal RNA
Source: RNAcentral
ACAGCAGCCGCCACGGGAAUACGUAGGUGGCAAGCGUUGUCCGGAAUUAUUGGGCGUAAAGCGCGCGCAGGCGGAUCAGUCAGUCUGUCUUAAAAGUUCGGGGCUUAACCCCGUGAUGGGAUGGAAACUGCUGAUCUAGAGUAUCGGAGAGGAAAGUGGAAUUCCUAGUGUAGCGGUGAAAUGCGUAGAUAUUAGGAAGAACACCAGUGGCGAAGGCGACUUUCUGGACGAAAACUGACGCUGAGGCGCGAAAGCCAGGGGAGCGAACGGGAUUAGAUACCCCCGUAGUCCCUGUCUCUUAUACA